UUGCGCUAUUGGAUGAGCCUAUGUCGGAUUAGUUAGUUGGGUGGGGUAAAGGCCGUACCAAGGCAGCGAUCCGUAGCUGGUCUUAGAGGAUGAUCAGCCACAUCGGGACUGAGACACGGUCCGAACUCCUACGGGAGGCAGCAGUGGGGAAUAUUGCACAAUGGGGCGCAAGCCUGAUGCAGCUAUGCCGCGUGUGUGAAGAAGGCCUUAGGGUUGUAAAGCACUUUCAGUAGUGAGGAAAAGUGUUGCGUUAAUAGCGCAAUGCUGUGACGUUAGCUACAGAAGAAGGACCGGCAAACUCCGUG
RNAcentral lists this ribosomal RNA (305 nucleotides) under uncultured bacterium. RNAcentral's name for it is "bacterial SSU rRNA". It matches the Rfam family "Bacterial small subunit ribosomal RNA", at positions 213 to 507 of the family's 1533-position model. The record is from RNAcentral.